Long non-coding RNA from Phascolarctos cinereus (koala), 519 nucleotides. RefSeq lists it as uncharacterized. NCBI's taxonomy places the organism in Eukaryota, Metazoa, Chordata, Mammalia, Diprotodontia, Phascolarctidae. The record is from RefSeq and is a predicted model, not a curated record.
UGGAAUACAUUUCUUUUCUUCAUAUUCACAGAAAGCAGCAGUAGCAUUGACCAGGCAAAUAUAGUGCACAAACAUGUGCUCCAUCUAGAACAAGAGCUUCCUAAAUGGUGAUGAGUAUCCUGAGAUCUGCCCAGAGCCUCAUGGGUGGUACUCAGCAGGGCCCAGUGUGAGGCCAGCUCCUCUGUCACCAGACGCUGGGCUUUCUACAAUUUCUCCACAGUGCUACCAAGAAGCCAAGAUGCUUUGCCAGCUCCUGUUUCUCAGUCUGAUCCUCUUCGAGCUCAAGCCAGUGGGAUGCAGUGGAAAGAACCCCGAAUUUCAAGAUGGCAGGAGAGCAUAUAGCGUGAGCAGGGCCGCUGCCCUACCUCGCUGUGUUUUGUAGCGAAGAGCGACAAUGUGGAGUAGCUGGGGAGCUGGGUUCGAACCCCGGCUCUGCUAUCUCUGCUUGGGUGAUCAUGGGUGAGUCACUGAGCACCUGCCUCCCAGGGUGGCUGCAAGAUUAAAAUGAAUUAAUAUUUG